RNAcentral lists this non-coding RNA (25 nucleotides) under Rattus norvegicus (Norway rat). Lineage: Eukaryota; Metazoa; Chordata; Mammalia; Rodentia; Muridae. The record is from RNAcentral.
UGGGCUGUCCACACCUGCUUCAUCA